Molecule: ribosomal RNA, 450 nt
Filed under: Staphylococcus equorum
Lineage: Bacteria; Bacillati; Bacillota; Bacilli; Caryophanales; Staphylococcaceae
Description: bacterial SSU rRNA
Rfam family: Bacterial small subunit ribosomal RNA
Source: RNAcentral
GUGACAGGUGGUGCAUGGUUGUCGUCAGCUCGUGUCGUGAGAUGUUGGGUUAAGUCCCGCAACGAGCGCAACCCUUAAACUUAGUUGCCAGCAUUUAGUUGGGCACUCUAGGUUGACUGCCGGUGACAAACCGGAGGAAGGUGGGGAUGACGUCAAAUCAUCAUGCCCCUUAUGAUUUGGGCUACACACGUGCUACAAUGGACAAUACAAAGGGCAGCUAAACCGCGAGGUCAUGCAAAUCCCAUAAAGUUGUUCUCAGUUCGGAUUGUAGUCUGCAACUCGACUACAUGAAGCUGGAAUCGCUAGUAAUCGUAGAUCAGCAUGCUACGGUGAAUACGUUCCCGGGUCUUGUACACACCGCCCGUCACACCACGAGAGUUUGUAACACCCGAAGCCGGUGGAGUAACCAUUUAUGGAGCUAGCCGUCGAAGGUGGGACAAAUGAUUGGGG